RNAcentral lists this long non-coding RNA (707 nucleotides) under Vigna radiata. RNAcentral describes it as "long non-coding RNA (VRAD_LNC013868)". The record is from RNAcentral. Lineage: Eukaryota; Viridiplantae; Streptophyta; Magnoliopsida; Fabales; Fabaceae.
GCCCAACGCUGACCCAGGCUCCCCUUACUCUCAAGCUUGGAAACCCUUAGGGGUUCUCUCAGAUCCCUCCUCAUUUCUCACUCACUCAUUUCUCCGAUUCCAUCUCACUCCCUCGAACCAAAGCAUGCCGCCACCACCCGACCGGCCACAACUCUCGUCUGGGCAGUUUGAGGCGUCUCCAGCGACUCCAAGCGUCACCGGAGCUGUUGCCGGCCACGGGGUCAGACCCCUUCCCCAGACUCAUCGCCGCGCACGAGAGGGAGACUCCCUCGCCUGCCGUGAUUCGCCUCUGCUGCCGCUGCCGUCGACGGCUCCACCGCCACGACUGGCCUAAGCCAUCACCGGGUCCACCUCUCACCAACGGGCCCUUCGCUGGCCGCCGCAGGUCGAAUGUCAGGGCGCCAUCAGAACCACCGGUCGUCGCGAGUUAUGGCGUCAUCUGGGAUGACGCCCAUCGUCGGAGUUCUAGCCGGCGCCAGGCUCUUUCCCCUUUUCUUCUUUGCGUGUGAGAAGCUCUCUUCCUCCUCUGUCGAACACCGCUAAGGCACCACCCGCGUCACAAGUCAAGGCCAAGGUUGCCGCCGUACAUCGCCUCCACUGCCAACAGAAACACCAAACCCCUCGCCGGACCAACACCGUGAGCAACCAUCGUGCCUUCGGAAGCCAAUGCGAACUCCAGUCGCACAGCCACGACAAUCACCUCGCGA